GAUGAACGCUAGCUACAGGCUUAACACAUGCAAGUCGAGGGGCAGCGGGAUUGAAGCUUGCUUCAAUUGCCGGCGACCGGCGCACGGGUGAGUAACGCGUAUCCAACCUUCCGUACACUCAGGGAUAGCCUUUCGAAAGAAAGAUUAAUACCUGAUGGUAUGAUGAGAUUGCAUGAUAGCAUCAUUAAAGAUUUAUCGGUGUACGAUGGGGAUGCGUUCCAUUAGGUAGUAGGCGGGGUAACGGCCCACCUAGCCUACGAUGGAUAGGGGUUCUGAGAGGAAGGCCCCCCCACAUUGGAACUGAGACACGGUCCAAACUCCUACGGGAGGCAGCAGUGAGGAAUAUUGGUCAAUGGACGAGAGUCUGAACCAGCCAAGUAGCGUGAAGGAUGAAGGUCUUACGGAUUGUAAACUUCUUUUAUAAGGGAAUAAACCCUCCCACGUGUGGGNGCUUGUAUGUACCUUAUGAAUAAGC
This 475-nucleotide ribosomal RNA is filed under the name uncultured bacterium. RNAcentral's name for it is "bacterial SSU rRNA". It matches the Rfam family "Bacterial small subunit ribosomal RNA", at positions 28 to 491 of the family's 1533-position model. The record is from RNAcentral.